RNAcentral lists this unclassified non-coding RNA (391 nucleotides) under soil metagenome. RNAcentral's name for it is "partial contains 5.8S ribosomal RNA, internal transcribed spacer 2, and large subunit ribosomal RNA". The stretch from base 1 to 122 matches the Rfam family "5.8S ribosomal RNA", at positions 35 to 154 of the family's 154-position model. The record is from RNAcentral.
GAUGAAGAACGUAGCGAAAUGCGAUACUUGGUGUGAAUUGCAGAAUCCCGUGAACCAUCGAGUCUUUGAACGCAAGUUGCGCCCGAAGCCAUUAGGCCGAGGGCACGCCUGCCUGGGCGUCACACGUCGUUGCCCCCCCAUCUACUCCUUCGGGAUUGCGGGGGGCGGAUGAUGGCCUCCCGUGCGCCUCGCCGCGCGGUUGGCGUAAAUGCCAAGUCCUCGGCGACGCACGCCACGACAAUCGGUGGUUGCGAAACCUCGGUUGCCCGUCGUGUGCGGUCGUCGCGCAUCGAGGGCUCGAAAAAAUUGCCGGGUUCCGGCUCGGCUUUCAACGCGACCCCAGGUCAGGCGGGGUUACCCGCUGAAUUUAAGCAUAUCAAUAAGCGGAGGA